CCGCACAUCUUUCACCUUGCUCACAUGAUUUCCCAACAAACUUUACAAAAUAACUUCACUACCUCACAUGAGUUUCACUCAUCUCGCACACUCUUUUAAACCUACUUCAUUCACCUAUAAAUCCUAACAUAAUACAUUGAGAUAGGAAGCUACCAAAAAUUCGUCUGAGCAAAAUCUGCAACUUCCCUGUAACCUCCACAAUUUUCAACAAAAUCUCUUAUUACAUAGCCUGUCAGAGCCUCGCAUCGAAUAUCUGAGCAAGUUUGAGCUAAGCCUUCACUAACCUCAUCAACAACACCUUUAAGCAUAAUAACAAUCACACAUAGAAUUUCAGAAAGAAGAGAGUAGAAGAAGAAGUGAGAAGAAGGAAAAGAGGAGGGAAGAGAAUGUCUUACCUAAAGUUUUCUCCAUCGUGCCAGAGUUUGAAGACCUUUGUUAGAGUUUCAUUUGGUAGUUUUAAGGUUCUUUUGUUGUUGAUAUACUCGAUUUAUUCCUUUCCCCUUUGAUCACGCUGUACUUGCGUGUAAUCAGACGAUUUAAUGAAAAAUGGGGGUCACGGUUUCUG
This 565-nucleotide long non-coding RNA is filed under the name Lathyrus oleraceus (garden pea). RNAcentral's name for it is "Pisum sativum (pea) long non-coding RNA (PSAT_LNC017383)". The record is from RNAcentral. Lineage: Eukaryota; Viridiplantae; Streptophyta; Magnoliopsida; Fabales; Fabaceae.